UUGGGUAGGGGAGCGUUCUGUAAGCCUGUGAAGGUGGCCUGUGAGGGUUGCUGGAGGUAUCAGAAGUGCGAAUGCUGACAUAAGUAACGAUAAAGCGGGUGAAAAGCCCGCUCGCCGGAAGACCAAGGGUUCCUGUCCAACGUUAAUCGGGGCAGGGUGAGUCGACCCCUAAGGCGAGGCCGAAAGGCGUAGUCGAUGGGAAACGGGUUAAUAUUCCCGUACUUGGUGUUACUGCGAAGGGGGGACGGAGAAGGCUAUGUUGGCCGGGCGACGGUUGUCCCGGUUUAAGCGUGUAGGUGUGUGUUCCAGGUAAAUCCGGUUCACUUUAACACUGAGGCGUGACGACGAGGCACUACGGUGCUGAAGCAACAAAUGCCCUGCUUCCAGGAAAAGCCUCUAAGCAUCAGGUAACAUCAAAUCGUACCCCAAACCGACACAGGUGGUCAGGUAGAGAAUACCAAGGCGCUUGAGAGAACUCGGGUGAAGGAACUAGGCAAAAUGGUGCCGUAACUUCGGGAGAAGGCACGCUGACACGUAGGUGAAGUGAUUUACUCAUGGAGCUGAAGUCAGUCGAAGAUACCAGCUGGCUGCAACUGUUUAUUAAAAACACAGCACUGUGCAAACACGAAAGUGGACGUAUACGGUGUGACGCCUGCCCGGUGCCGGAAGGUUAAUUGAUGGGGUCAGCGCAAGCGAAGCUCCUGAUCGAAGCCCCGGUAAACGGCGGCCGUAACUAUAACGGUCCUAAGGUAGCGAAAUUCCUUGUCGGGUAAGUUCCGACCUGCACGAAUGGCGUAAUGAUGGCCAGGCUGUCUCCACCCGAGACUCAGUGAAAUUGAACUCGCUGUGAAGAUGCAGUGUACCCGCGGCAAGACGGAAAGACCCCGUGAACCUUUACUAUAGCUUGACACUGAACAUUGAGCCUUGAUGUGUAGGAUAGG
This 941-nucleotide ribosomal RNA is filed under the name Salmonella enterica subsp. enterica serovar Mbandaka. RNAcentral's name for it is "partial 23S ribosomal RNA". It matches the Rfam family "Bacterial large subunit ribosomal RNA", at positions 1224 to 2147 of the family's 2925-position model. Lineage: Bacteria; Pseudomonadati; Pseudomonadota; Gammaproteobacteria; Enterobacterales; Enterobacteriaceae. The record is from RNAcentral.